This 784-nucleotide ribosomal RNA is filed under the name uncultured Neocallimastigales. RNAcentral describes it as "partial large subunit ribosomal RNA". It matches the Rfam family "Eukaryotic large subunit ribosomal RNA", at positions 23 to 644 of the family's 3401-position model. The record is from RNAcentral. Lineage: Eukaryota; Fungi; Neocallimastigomycota; Neocallimastigomycetes; Neocallimastigales.
ACACGCAUGACACACUGCAUAUCAAUAAGCGGAGGAAAAGAAACUAACAAGGAUUCCCCUAGUAACGGCGAGUGAAGCGGGAAGAGCUCAAAUUUGAAAUCUUCAAGGGUUUCCCUUGACGAAUUGUAGUUUAAAGAAGUGUUUUCUGUUAGAGAGGUGGUAAAAGUUCUUUGGAAUAGGACAUCAUAGAGGGUGAGAAUCCCGUAUUUGAUCACUUUCUACUAACGUUGUGAUACACUUUCAAAGAGUCGGAUUGUUUGGGAAUGCAGUCCAAAAUGGGUGGUAAAUUUCAUCUAAAGCUAAAUAUUGGCGAGAGACCGAUAGCGAACAAGUACCGUGAGGGAAAGAUGAAAAGAACUUUGAAAAGAGAGUUAAGCAGUACGUGAAAUUGUCAAAAGGGAAGCGUUUGACACCAGUGUUGUUUUUCCGAAAAUCAAUUAUGAAAGGUUGGAUUUUAAAGUUUGUAUUGACCUUAACAGCUUGCUUCUACUCUUUUCCUGUCUUUUGUAAUGCACUUUUCGGUUAACAAGUCAACAUCAAUUUCUUUUGUUGUAAAAGGUUCAGUAGGAAGGUGGCUUUACUCUUCGGAGUAAAGUGUUUAUAGCCUUUUAUCUCUGCAAUCGGAGAGACUGAGGUCUGCAGCGUAGAUCCUUCGGGGUUAGAUACGUUUGUGCUAAGCUACAGCUUUUCAUAGACAACUUGUUGACUAUGUUUAAGUCUUGUGACUUACCUCGCAGUAUGCUAUUUUACCUACGCUUAGGAUGUUGACUGAUAUGUAGUCGUA